UGGGGAAUUUUGGACAAUGGGCGAAAGCCUGAUCCAGCAAUGCCGCGUGUGUGAAGAAGGCCUUCGGGUUGUAAAGCACUUUUGUCCGGAAAGAAAUCCUUGGCUCUAAUACAGUCGGGGGAUGACGGUACCGGAAGAAUAAGCACCGGCUAACUACGUGCCAGCAGCCGCGGUAAUACGUAGGGUGCAAGCGUUAAUCGGAAUUACUGGGCGUAAAGCGUGCGCAGGCGGUUUGCUAAGACCGAUGUGAAAUCCCCGGGCUCAACCUGGGAACUGCAUUGGUGACUGGCAGGCUAGAGUAUGGCAGAGGGGGGUAGAAUUCCACGUGUAGCAGUGAAAUGCGUAGAGAUGUGGAGGAAUACCGAUGGCGAAGGCAGCCCCCUGGCAAGUACUGACGCUCAUGCACGAAAGCGUGGGGAGCAAACAGGAUUAGAUACCCUGGUAGUCCACGCCCUAAACGAUGUCAACUAGUUGUUGGGGAUUCAUUUCCUUAGUAACGUAGCUAACGCGUGAAGUUGACCGCCUGGGGAGUACGGUCGCAAGAUUAAAACUUAAAGGAAUUGACGGGGUCAUAGCUGUUUCCU
This 584-nucleotide ribosomal RNA is filed under the name uncultured bacterium. RNAcentral's name for it is "partial 16S ribosomal RNA". It matches the Rfam family "Bacterial small subunit ribosomal RNA", at positions 355 to 1375 of the family's 1533-position model. The record is from RNAcentral.